GACGAACGCUGGCGGCGUGCUUAACACAUGCAAGUCGAACGAAGUGGCGAACGGGUGAGUAACGCGUAAUCAACCUGCCCUUCAGAGGGGGACAACAGUUGGAAACGACUGCUAAACCCACAUACUGAAGUAGGGCGUUGCGUCUGAUUAGCUAGUUGGAGGGGUAACGGCCCACCAAGGCGAUGAUCAGUAGCCGGUCCGAGAGGAUGAACGGCCACAUUGGGACUGAGACACGGCCCAGACUCCUACGGGAGGCAGCAGUGGGGAAUCUUCCGCAAUGGACGAAAGUCUGACGGAGCAACGCCGCGUGAGUGAUGACGGCCUUCGGGUUGUAAAGCUCUGUUAAUCGGGACGCGGUACCGGAAUAGAAAGCCACGGCUAACUACGUGCCAGCAGCCGCGGUAAUUC
RNAcentral lists this ribosomal RNA (408 nucleotides) under uncultured bacterium. RNAcentral describes it as "partial 16S ribosomal RNA". It matches the Rfam family "Bacterial small subunit ribosomal RNA", at positions 28 to 526 of the family's 1533-position model. The record is from RNAcentral.